Long non-coding RNA from Esox lucius (northern pike), 699 nucleotides. The record is from Ensembl. Lineage: Eukaryota; Metazoa; Chordata; Actinopteri; Esociformes; Esocidae.
CAAAACUGGAUCAUUUCAGUGACUUGGUUCUUUAAGUCUCAUUCAGGAAAAGGAACAACUCUUUUUCAAAGAGUGUAAUGUAUAAACUUUAUGCUCUGAACUGGACAAUACAACAUGUCACUGUUUUACUACAAUUUGAUCAACUCCUGAAACAAACGCAGAUAGACUGAAAAUUAUUGAAUGCUGAGUCACCUACAUAGCUGUGAUGUUUUGUGCUUCUUCUCAUAUCAACAGUUGAACAGGUCAUGACAUUUUCUGUAGUUUUGUUCCCGGAUGAGGAUGACUGUAUGGCAGUAGUUCCACGCCUGGGGCUCAAAGGGGAGUUUGCUACUGGCCACCACACAGCAUCACCAGCAGGAAGUCCUUCAGCCACAACAAGUUUGCCAGAACUUGUACACCGCCUGAAGACACCUGGGAGGCUCUCCCUUAUAAGCUCAUCAAGCAUGCAGGUUCCAAGACAGAAGAGUUUUGUCCUGGCUGAGCGGGAGCUACCCAACCAUGAAGGUUGGGUGUCCAAAAGACAUGAAGUGGCAUAUCAGCGUGCACGGGGGGACUCCCACACCAGCCACACCCUCCCGGUAAUUCAGUCCUUGCACUCCAUCGACGUCUGAACAGCAGCACAAGAACUCGCAUCAUCCGUCAUCAGCAGAUUGUUACAAUAACACAGGUAAUUCCUCUGAAAGCAUCAGAACUUGCAUU